Molecule: ribosomal RNA, 598 nt
Filed under: Auricularia auricula-judae (jelly ear fungus)
Lineage: Eukaryota; Fungi; Basidiomycota; Agaricomycetes; Auriculariales; Auriculariaceae
Description: eukaryotic LSU rRNA
Rfam family: 5.8S ribosomal RNA (bases 188-341)
Source: RNAcentral
UCCGUAGGUGAACCUGCGGAAGGAUCAUUAAAGAUUCUGAGGCUUCGGUCUUAAUUUCGGCUGUGCGCUCAGGCUGCACGCCGAUAACCUCUCACACCUGUGCACCUUUUCGGUUGCGGUUUCGGCCGCUUCCGCUUUUACAUGCAACCACGAAAAGUCUAGAAUGUGACGAGAACUAUAAAGUAACAACUUUCAACAACGGAUCUCUUGGCUCUCGCAUCGAUGAAGAACGCAGCGAAAUGCGAUAAGUAAUGUGAAUUGCAGAAUUCAGUGAAUCAUCGAAUCUUUGAACGCACCUUGCGCUCCUUGGUAUUCCAUGGAGCAUGCCUGUUUGAGUGUCACGUAAACCCUCACCCCUGCGAUGUAACAGUCGCCUGCGGUGGACUUGGACCGUGCCGGUAAUCGGCUCGUCUUGAAAUGCAUUAGCUGGUGCUUUUAGAGUGCUGGGCGAACGGUGUGAUAAUUAUCUGCGCCGACUGCCCUGGGCCUCUUCAGCGGCGCUGCUUACAGCCGUCCCUUGUGGACAACUAUUUUAAAGCUUUGGCCUCAAAUCAGGUAGGACUACCCGCAGAACUUAAGCAUAUCAAUAAGCGGAGGA